UACGGAGGGUGCAAGCGUUAUCCGGAUUCACUGGGUUUAAAGGGUGCGUAGGUGGGCAGUUAAGUCAGUGGUGAAAUCUCCGGGCUCAACCCGGAAACUGCCAUUGAUACUAUCUGUCUUGAAUAUCGUGGAGGUAAGCGGAAUAUGUCAUGUAGCGGUGAAAUGCUUAGAUAUGACAUAGAACACCAAUUGCGAAGGCAGCUCACUACACAAAGAUUGACACUGAGGCACGAAAGCGUGGGGAUCAAACAGG
RNAcentral lists this ribosomal RNA (253 nucleotides) under uncultured bacterium. RNAcentral describes it as "partial 16S ribosomal RNA". It matches the Rfam family "Bacterial small subunit ribosomal RNA", at positions 524 to 776 of the family's 1533-position model. The record is from RNAcentral.